CUUUCUGAUGUUUGUUAUGUCUGGUGUUGUUAAUGAAAUAACAUAUGCUCUGGCCACCAUUAUAUAGGAGAUGACCUUGGAGGAGCAGCGGAAAGCAAUACUCGCGCUAAAGACUGAGAAGAGAAAACUAGUUGGAUCUAAAGAAAAUUCAGUGUACAAAUGCUAAAUGUAAUGUUUGGAUCAUAUUGGGGUCUACUGAUUGGAUCAUAUGUUCAGAUCAGUACUAAACGUGGUACUGUACUUUGCAAAUGCUAGAGUGGUAUUUCCUACUUGCAAAACAAAAUUCAGUUUAGCAUGUAAUGUUUGGAUCAUAAGUUUACAAAUGUUGAUUCUGAACUUCUGAAUGUUGAUUCUGAACUGCCAAAUGUCUAAAAUUCUGAGAUUUCUUGCAUACUGCAAAUGUCAGCGUGUGACAAUAUAUUGUACCUAUGAUAUAGUUGCUUUCUCAUGCCUGUAGUUACCAAGGUUUAUAGUUUUUUGGUUACAAAAGAUGUCUAGUCUUCAACAUGUAGUUGGUCUCUACAUUCUUUUAGUCACCAAGCCUUGGCUGGUCACUUGAUAUCUCUAGCCACUAACCAUGUACAUGGUCGCUGUACAUUUUUAGCAACCAAGUCGUCCAUGGUCUCUAGAUGUCAUCAGUCACCAAGUCUCCCUUGGUCCCUAGAUGCCAUUAGUCACCAGAUUUGGUUGGUAGCUAUUGGUAUGACAUUUAGUGACCAGGGUUCUCAAUGUUGGUCGCUCAAUAUCUAUAGCGACUAGACUAUAGCCACCACGAAGCGACCAAGUAGUGUUGGUACCAAUAGACCACUAGCCACCAAUUUUGUACCUUUAGCAACCGAUCACCUUGGUGGCUAAAACUCAUGUCUCUAGUAGUGAUAUUGAUAUAUAAAGUUCAAGAUCAUUUGUUGUUUGUCUUCUGAUCAGCACUAUUAAUUACAAGCUAGUUUAAGACGAAGGUGAUGUUGCUAAACCCUGCCCUAGCUCUCCCUCUAAUAUAACCUACCCCCCCCCCUCUCUCUCUCACCUCGCUCUAGCUCAAGCCGUAUCAAGGAAGAAGAAAGCAUGAGGAGAAGGGGGACACGGUGGAGUUCUGCCGCACGAACGCCCGCCGCACAGACGGCAUUGUUUUCCCUCGAGCACGAACUCGAGCCCACUCCAUGUUACAACGGCCAUCGCGUGGCUUUAUACACGAGCCAGCGCACCAGGCACCAACCCACGCCUCCACUCCCUCUCGAUCGCUCACGCUUCGCCCGCUCUGCUCGUGCCCGCGUCGCGCUCCGACGCGCGCGGCCCACGGCGAGCUCCAACGGCAGCACCCUCGAUAACGCCACGCGACUCGCCAACAACCUAGACCUAGUCCCACGCACACGGUGCACAUCGGCACGCUUGGGUUACAUACAUAACGUACAUGAUUUGAAUUCAGUCGAGCGUUGACAUUGUAUGCAGAGAUUCUAACCUAUAAGGAUGCUAGCCGACCCUCCUCCACGGAGCUCCUCCCGUGUGCAUCGCUCAUGGGCGUCGGAUGGGCUUUGACUUUCUCUGCUGCUGGCGAUUGGAUCGGUUGACUGCGUGGUAAUAAAUUUGACCCGUGCUUGUUUUUCACGUUUGAGUGACUUGUGGCCCUUCUUGGGUGAGGUUCGCCUGGUCCUUCGUGGGUGAAUUGGAUCGUUGAUAAAAGUCAACCUAUCCGGUUGCUACGCAUGGUGGUCGAGGAAAGGCGGAGACAACCGGACGUGCGACGAUGUCAAAUUGUUUGUCUCUUGCACAGUGCGUUCUUUUCCCCCAGUUCCCACAGCCGCCUCCCACACCCCUCUCCUUCCUUCCUUCCUCGCCUGUCACCCGCCACAGCUGCCGCACCCCUCCAUCUCUUUCCUCUCGCAUCCUCCCGCGUCGAACGCCGCUGGGCUCCUCCCUAUCUCGUCUCGGAUACAGGGUAGCAGAGAGGAGGAAGGGAGGUAGAACGACGGGGAAGGGGAUGAACAGCAGAGAGGAGGAAGGGAGGUAGAGGAACGACGGGGAAGGGGAUGGACAGGAGCUUCAUGCCCAAAAUCCAGUCGCCCCAGGCCGUGCCUACACGAGCAGCGCCGCAGGUAGAUGCUUCCCCGCCCAACGAGGAUGGCGAGGUAGGUGUUCACAAUGGCAGCCCGAGGUCGUCAGAUCUGUCACCAUCACCGUUCUUUUGUCGAGGCCGCCGUCGUUCACGUGUUCCUCCUCACCCCCACGGCUAGACGCUAGCGAGGCCAGCCUCCCCUCCAAGCGCAGGUACUUCCUCGCUCCUUUCCGUGCUCUCUCUCUCUCUCUCUCUCUCCCUUGAUCUAUCUCUCUGUUGUACACGGAAGCAAAUUUGACCAAUUCUCAGUCUAGAUUUGACCUAUUCCAGUUCUGAGCCUUACUUGUUCAUACGAAAACAUGUUUUAGAGCCUAUGCACCCGGGUACUCCUUAUCCAACCACUCAUUCCUGCAUCACGAUUCGUGCAAAUAAUUUUUUCUUUCUUGUUUCUCUCAUAUAGAACAUGUAUUUGUACUUCAACUUUGCAGCACAACAAAGCUUUUUAUGUAGAAUGUGGGAUAAAACUUACAGAUUUUUUGGUCCAACAUAAAUAUACAAAAUGAGAUUUAUUUGAUUAAAAAAUCUUAUUUUUCAUAUUUAUGUCGGACAAAAAAAUCUGAAAGUUUUAUCUCACAUUCUAGUUACAAAGUUAUGUUGUACUGCAAAGUUUGAAGUUCAAGACAUGUUUUAUAUGAGAGGAACAAAAAAGAGAAAAUUCCAUGUAAUAAGGUAGUUGUGUAGCACAUAUCUCAAAGCAACAUUGGAGUGUUAGGAUAGUGAAGCCCAGGUGCAUAAGCUCACAAAAUCUGCAUUCCUUGUUCAUAUGGUUUCAAUUGCCGUCUCUCAUGUGACGUUGAGAAAAUCACAUGUAUAUGCGUAUUUUUUCCUCUGUGCCCUGAUUUAUCUUAGUCCUUAUGUCAAAGAUACCGGAUGUAGUAACAGAUCGACGUAGUAACAAAUGCAAAGAGAAUGGACCUCCUCUUGAUUAGCUCAAGAGGACCUGUAUAGUGGCUUCAUGUAAUUUCUUGAUUUCCCAUAGUGAUUUCGCUGGCAAUUUGUUAGUGUAUUUCUAGCUAAAAUUGCAUGUAUAUCUUACAAAUUUACAUUGCAACAAAUUAACAAGGAGUAUAGAAGCAUUUGUAUUUAUCUAACAUGUUUGUAUGGUAUGUUUCAAAAAGCUCAAGGUUAGAUAUGUAGUGUUGUAUGAGGCUAUAUUAGGAUGGAAGACAAUUAUUGUUAAAAUAUUGUUUGAAUUUCCUUCGUUUUGUAAACGGCAAUACAAGCUAUGUUUGCGCCAUGAUUCUAUUACAAUUUUUUUAACAACUGACAAUUAACAAUUAACGACACAUCAAAUGUUCCGUAUUGAAAUGGAUCAUUUUGUCAGGUUGGAUUUAGUAGGUCAUAAUGGUUUUAUUCUACGACAGGAUUAAUUUUGUUUAUACUGUAACCUGUUCAAGGAUUGACGAGUUUUGGAACCCUACGAUCUUUGCACACUAAGGUUCAGCUGUGUUCUUUGUGAAAUAUACGUCCUGCAAGUCUCAUGUGUCUUGCGUUGUUUUCGCUUUCCAAGCUACAGGGUUUUGAUAUACUCAAAAUGAGAUUCUUUAUAUGGUAUUCGAUUCCUCUUGCUAUGACCAGAACGGGAAAUGUCUUACGGUGGCAAUAUGCUCUUCUAUGCUGUCUGAUUGACUCUUUUUAUUAGCAUGGAGAAUAACUUUUACUUCACUAAGGUUAGUUUCUGUUCACAUUGCUUUGUAUAUAAAAAAGGAUUGUUGUGCUUAAAAGGUUUAUGACAUUUUGGCGAAACAUUAUUUAGUAAAAAAGUAUGCAGAGGUGAACUUUAGAGGUGAAAUGUUGUGGAUGUUCUGACAGAGAGAUUCUUGGACUAACUUUAGCGUCACACCUUAUUCAAUAUCUGGGUAUUGGGUUCUACUAAUUGUCAGUGCCUUAAUUUUUGUUUUUCUCCCAAUGCCAUGUGAUAUUUACUGGACUAUAAUUCACAUGCUUGCAAGUCGUUGUCGUGUCUCUCUCUCUCUAACUGCCCCCCUCCCAUCGUCUUGGCUUGUAGGUCACCUCCGUGUCUCCCGCCAGUCCACGACAUAGCUUGCAAUCUAGGUUGUUGCCAAGUUAACUUAGGAUGGUAACCUACAAUGUACAACCCAAGAGAUCGAUAGUGUUUAUUAUACUGUCAUGCCUCUACUUCUCUGUUGUAUAUAUAGUUGCUUGUAUAUCUAAUUGGAUUGUUCAGAUUAGAUACUUCUCUAUGAAAUUACUAAUACAUGAAUUUUGUUUCUUCAGUUCUCUAUGAAAUCCAUGUGAUACUUCCACUAAUAGAAAACAGGGCUUUGGUCACAGGGCAAUAUUCACAUUAGUCCCGGUUCAAUCACGAACCGGGACUAAACCGAGACUAAUGUGAGCAUUGGUCCCGGUUCGUGCGGCUAAGGCAUUAGUCCCGGUUUGAGACACGAACCGAGACUAAAGGGUGUGAUGCACUUUAGUCCCGGUUUGUGUCUCAAACCGGGACUAAAGAUCUAAUCUUUAGUCCCGGUUACGGCCUGUUUGCAAAUUUUUAGAAUCCUCAAAUUCUAAAAGGAAAAAAAAGUUAUGCUCAAUUUUUUUCAGUUUUUUUUGUAUUUUCGUUAAAUCUGGUCAAACUACUUAUUCAAGAAGUAUUAGUGUUAUUAAAUAAUUAUUCAAGAAUAUUGGUGUUACUAAAUAAUUAUUUCGGUUUUUUUUUUGAUUUUUUGUCAAAUCUGGUCAAAUUGUGGUCCAACAAUGGUCAAACUACUUAUUCAAGAAAUAUAGUGUUACUAAAUUAUUAUUUUGGUUUUUUGAAUUCUGGUCAAAUUUGGUCAAACUAUUUAUUCAAGAAAUAUUAGUAUUACUAAAUAAUUAUUGUUUUGUACAAUAAUAGUUUCAAACUCAAACAGUGAAAUGUGUGACUUCAUGCUCAAGCUAAACUCUCGAGGGUUAAUAGGAUUGACAUCUUACUAUCGUCAGGAAAACAACAAGUGCAGACUUGGAAACGAAGGAGAAUAGAACCCGAAAGUUAAGCGUGCUCGGGUUGAAGUAGUGAGAGGGAUGGGUGACCGGUCGGGAAGUUAGAUGAUUUGGAAUAAUGAGGGGUGAUUAGAGAUUAGAGAUUAAAUUGAGCAGUGAUGAGGGGUGGGUGAUUAGAGAUUAAAUUAUAAAAUAAUUCAGAAAUUUGAAAAUCAAGAAAAAAUUCAAAAAAAAAUACCUUUAGUCCCGGUUGGUAACAUCAACCGGGACUAAAGGUGGGUUCGUGUAAGAACCGGGACUAAAAGGGGGGGCUUUAGUAACGACCCUUUAGUUCCGGUUCGAAAACCGGGACUAAAGGCCCUUAUGAACCGGGACUAAUGACCCUUUUUCUACUAGUGUUCUCUGUUGUAUACAUGGCAUGACAGUAUAAUUUCAUAGAGAAGCUCACAAAAUUUAAUGCUUCUGAUGUCAAAUUUAGAUUAAAUUUAUUAACUAGCUCAUUCAGGUAUUACAUCGGAAAACAACAUUUGUUUUCUAGAUUCAGUGUUUUCUGUAAAAGUAGUCAGAUGGUGAUCAUAGUGAAACAUUGCAUUUUUUAUACAAGUUGCUGGUACAAUCUGCACCUGGCAAAUAAAUUUGAAUCACUACCUAUUUUAUCAGGUAAAAACACCAGCAUGUUGUUUGAGGUGCAUGUAUCGGUUGUAGCGAAGUUGUACGUAUAACGAUGCAUUGCUAACCAUGGAGCACUCCAAGUCUUGAGGAUAUGUACGGCAACUUACAGACUUACACAUUGCCAUUGGCUCCUAUCACCAUGCAAGUGGUCGAUGCUUUAGUGUUGAACUAUUGAUUAAUCCCUCUUUUAUCUUUAAUCUAUGUGAUGGUGCCCCUUACCAUAUAUACUUGUUACGCGGAUUCAAUUGAAUGAUGUAUUCGGCAUGCUUGAUAGUUAUAAAACAAAUGUCAAACGAUAGCUAUUGCUAUUAUGGAGACGCUUUGAACUAUUGUUCAUCUGCUAUUUAAUGUUUGAUGCUCCUUCAUUAUUUGUAUAUAGAAGGGCUAAAGCUCCAAUCAUACAUGUUUGCUCAAACCUAAAGCUCCUAACUAAUGAAAAUAUUCUGAAAGCAAUCAUGAUUUUAAAGAUACAUAUAUUUUUAAAAGCCAAUGUAUAUUUUUCUCAAACACAAAGUCAUUGAAAAAUGCAAAUGUUUCAAUGCGAACAUGAUUUCAAGUGGGUCUCUGCGGACAUGAUAGCAAGUAUUUUGUGCUAUCAAAUUAAAAUAUGUAUAUGCAUCUCAUUAUAGAGAACAAUCCAACAUGCUACCUAUUAGAGAGGAUUAAACCAUGGAUAUUUUUUUCAUCGCGCACAUGAAUUUAGCAUGCCUCUGCGUCAUUUGGCGUAACGGGUCCACUAGUACAAUUGAAAGCACGAGUUGUACGUACGUACGUGCAUGCAAUGCAGUUCAAAUGGAGCAGCCUAGCAAAGCAGUCCACGGGAACGGGAUGUGGAUGUACUUCCAUUUCCAUUUUCAGCCCGUCAUGCACCUGUGGAAAUUAGUCCAUUGUGUAACCUUGAAUGUAACAACCCUGAUUGAUGAAUGAAAAGUUUUAUUUUCGCAAAAAAAAAAAAGAACAGACAGUACCCGCAAAAAAAAAGAUUAACACGCGCAAAAAAAAAAAGAACAGUCAGUACGCAUGUUAUCACGUCCGCUCGGCGGAAGAACACGAAGGCCCGUUACGCUCGUCCACUAAUUUGGGCCACAGCGAGAGAGAUACAGCCGACUGCUUUCGGCCCACCCCGCGUCCGAUGGCUCCCGGCUGGACAGCGGGGGGAGUAGUAAAACAGACGCUAGUUUGUUUAGUCCCACAUCGGCUAGCGAGAAAACGACGAACCUGUUUAUAAGCGUGAGCGCGGCAGCUGCAUCGUCCCUUCGGGGACAUCCGAUAAAAUUGGAACGAUACAGAGAAGAUUAGCAUGGCCCCUGCGCAAGGAUGACACGCACAAAUCGAGAAAUGGUCCAAAUUUUUCGAGAUUUCGCGCGCAGGUCCCUGGAGGUCUUCUUUUAUGCCCCUCGCAUGUAGUGCGCUUCUUACAGAAAGGGCCUCGAUGUUUUCAUUCUCUGCCAGAAGUGCCCUCACGACUGCCGUUCUUAACUUGAAGCCACCGGCCUAUCCUCAUGCGUACUGCUCUUCUCUCUUACAGAAAGGUCCUUGGGUUUCUCAAAACUGCCAUUUCAAACUUGGAGCCACAUGCCUUCAAUUAUUUGAUAUUGCAGAUACGCCCGCCCUGUAUAUGUAAUAACGUUUUGAACCUUCAAAUCUCCACAAGCACAAUAAUGAAAUCAUUACAAUGUCUAAUACAAAGAUUACCAUUUGAUCUUGCUGGAAAUUCCAAAGGCUUGAGAAAGUUAUUGUCUGCACUUAAUCAGUUAUUAGCCUUGAUGAAAUCAGGACCUAUCUAUCUGACCCCUACAAGGUCUAGAGACAGAUUUUUUUAUUUUUUUUGAGGGAAGGUCUAGAGACAGAUGAUAUUUGAUCAAGGCAACCCAGCACUCAUCAUUCUUCUAAAGUAAUCCAACCGACGCAACAUCGUUAUGCAACAAGGCAACUGAUCUCUUCCUAAUGUGCAGUAGUUUACUUCUUUUCACUCAUGCUGCUGUGCUGAGUAAUGCAUUGUACGAGUAGCAGUAGCUGGUUGCUGUGCUGUGAGUGAUGCCCUCACGGUGGCUUAUUUCAUUUAUCUGAUAACCUUCAAAACCAACAGGCUAGUCUAGCCCGGGUUGGUCUCGUUUUUCUUUUAUAUAACCUUCAAAACAUAUACAGACACGCAGCAGCACCGUGUCACAUUGAAGCGAGAAAAAAACGACGGUGUUUUUUCAGAAAGAAAAAAAGCCGAACCAUGUAUUCACAUAGGUCAGAGCCAGCAGUCAAAAAGAGAGCAGGAUUUGAAGAGAGCUAUAUUUGAGUUCUUGUCAGGAUCAGGCGCAGUACACUACAUCUUAGCAGUUGCUAGCACCAUCAAGGCCAGCCAAGGCACAUUGCCACAUUCCUUCCUGCCGGUCUCUAUGCAGGCCAAAGAAUCAAACCACAUGCCCAGACUUGUGCCGACACGCGCCGACGCUCUCAUCACGCCGCCUCGCCUCCGAUGUUUAACACAUCCUGGGGUGGGGGGCCGACGCCAGCUGGCAGCUUCCCGGACCCCUCUGUACAUCUCAUCAGGAACCUGCAAGCAUAAGACGGAACCCCGUUACAGAAUAGACGACUUGGCGAGCAUGUCCUGAAACAGGCCAGACUCUUCACGUGUGCCAGGGAGGAAGAACGCCUCCUGAUCAAGCAGACAGAGUUUCCUCCUAAUAAUUCUCAAAAGCAGGUGCUUUUAUAUAUGAAAAAACUGAAAGCUGCAUCACUG
Molecule: long non-coding RNA, 8456 nt
Filed under: Triticum aestivum (bread wheat)
Lineage: Eukaryota; Viridiplantae; Streptophyta; Magnoliopsida; Poales; Poaceae
Source: RNAcentral